UCCCUGCUGGCUCAGACAGUAAAGAACCUGCCUACAAUGCAGGAGACAUGGGUUCAAUCCCUGAGUCGGGAA
RNAcentral lists this transfer RNA (72 nucleotides) under Bos taurus (domestic cattle). It matches the Rfam family "tRNA". Rfam says of the family: Transfer RNA (tRNA) molecules are approximately 80 nucleotides in length. The record is from Rfam by way of RNAcentral. Lineage: Eukaryota; Metazoa; Chordata; Mammalia; Artiodactyla; Bovidae. RNAcentral also lists the same sequence under 2 other names.